CUUUGUUCCUGAGGCAAUGCAGAGGUCAGCAUUGGAACGAUACAGAGAAGAUUAGCAUGGCCCCUGCUCAAGGAUGACACGCAAAUUCGUGAAGCGUUCCAUAUUUUC
Small nuclear RNA from Budorcas taxicolor (takin), 108 nucleotides. The record is from RefSeq and is a predicted model, not a curated record. NCBI's taxonomy places the organism in Eukaryota, Metazoa, Chordata, Mammalia, Artiodactyla, Bovidae.